Molecule: ribosomal RNA, 290 nt
Filed under: uncultured prokaryote
Description: partial 16S ribosomal RNA
Rfam family: Bacterial small subunit ribosomal RNA
Source: RNAcentral
UACGUAGGGGGCGAGCGUUAUCCGGAUUCAUUGGGCGUAAAGCGCGCGUAGGCGGCCCGUUAGGUCGGGAGUUAAAUCCGGGGGCUCAACCCCCGCCCGCUCCCGAUACCGGCGGGCUUGAGUCUGGUAGGGGAAGGCGGAAUUCCCAGUGUAGCGGUGGAAUGCGCAGAUAUUGGGAAGAACACCGGUGGCGAAGGCGGCCUUCUGGGCCACGACUGACGCUGAGGCGCGAAAGCUAGGGGAGCGAACAGGAUUAGAUACCCUGGUAGUCCCUGAGCGGGCUGGCAAGG